GAGAGAGAUCGGAGCCGCCAUCCUACGGAGGAAACGACGAGACGUCGUCGUCGUCGUCGUCGCCGUCGUCGUCGUCGCCGUCGUCGUCGUCGUCGUCGUCGUUGUUUCCAAAACUUUUGGUUUGUUCGUCGUCUUGUGACACACCUUCUUACGCGAGUGUACUUUUUUUUCGUUGCAAAGUAAGAUAUUUCGCGACAUAUAUUCUUCUUCUUCUUCUCUAAGAAAGAGGGGUGUAGGAGGGUGAAGAAGAGUGAAGGAGGGUGAAGGAGGGUGAAGGUCUUUGUCGAGGACAAAAGAGAGGGAAAGUAAAUUUAGGAGAAUGUGAACAUUAUAUUGGUAGAUAGAUGUUUUUUGAUAAAGGGAGAAAGUGUGAUUCUAUUGACAUAGAGAUAUAGGAAGAACAAUAUAUGGAGUUGGAGCGAAAGAAGGAGAACCGGCGUGCGUAAGCACGCUUUGAAGAAAUUCAAAGGGGUGGCCAAGGCGCUCUCGGAGUCGGCGAUAAAAGGGGGCGGCGGGGCCAAAGCUGUCACUUCGAUCGCCAUUUUAGCAGCGAGGCGGUGAGAUCCCCCGACAAAUCGAAGCAUCCUGCUACCGGACCUAGUCACCACUGGACCCGUUGUCAAAGAAUACGACGAAACAAGGACCGAAGGAAGAAUAGGAACGAACCCGGCCGGUACGAAAGCAGAAUCUUGGUUCAAGGAGAAUCCGGCGAAGAGAGAUAGAGGGAAAAUCUUCCUUUUCUUUUCUCGAUUUUUUUCUUCAAGAAGAGAGAAGAAGAAACGACGAGGAAUUGACGACUCGCGAUGCUUCUGCGCGU
Long non-coding RNA from Polistes dominula (European paper wasp), 817 nucleotides. The record is from RefSeq and is a predicted model, not a curated record. NCBI's taxonomy places the organism in Eukaryota, Metazoa, Arthropoda, Insecta, Hymenoptera, Vespidae.